RNAcentral lists this ribosomal RNA (254 nucleotides) under uncultured bacterium. Its description in RNAcentral is "partial 16S ribosomal RNA". It matches the Rfam family "Bacterial small subunit ribosomal RNA", at positions 524 to 776 of the family's 1533-position model. The record is from RNAcentral.
UACGUAGGGUGCAAGCGUUGUCCGGAAUUAUUGGGCGUAAAGAGCUCGUAGGCGGUCUGUCGCGUCUGCUGUGAAAACUCGGGGCUUAACCCCGGGCCUGCAGUGGGUACGGGCAGACUAGAGUGCGGUAGGGGGAGACUGGAAUUCCUGGUGUAGCGGUGAAAUGCGCAGAUAUCAGGAGGAACACCGGUGGCGAAGGCGGGUCUCUGGGCAUUACCUGACGCUGAGGAGCGAAAGUGUGGGGAGCGAACAGG